This 373-nucleotide ribosomal RNA is filed under the name uncultured organism. Its description in RNAcentral is "partial 16S ribosomal RNA". It matches the Rfam family "Bacterial small subunit ribosomal RNA", at positions 527 to 896 of the family's 1533-position model. The record is from RNAcentral.
AGAGGGUGCAAGCGUUAAUCGGAGUUACUGGGCGCAAAGGGUGCGCAGGCGGGUUGGUAAGUCAGACGUGAAAACUCCGGGCUCAACCCGGAGCGUGCGUUUGAAACUGCCUACCUUGAGUACGGGAGAGGGAAGUGGAAUUCCUGGUGUAGCGGUGAGAUGCGUAGAUAUCAGGAAGAACUCCGGUGGCGAAGGCGGCUUCCUGGCCCGAUACUGACGCUGAGGCGCGAAAGCUAGGGUAGCAAACAGGGAUUAGAUACCCUGGUAGUCCUAGCCGUAAACGAUGGGCACUAGGUGUUGGAGGAUCGACCCCCCUUCAGUGCCGCAGUUAACGCAUUAAGUGCCCCGCCUGGGGAGUACGACCGCAAGGUUG